Molecule: ribosomal RNA, 378 nt
Filed under: Aporrectodea trapezoides
Lineage: Eukaryota; Metazoa; Annelida; Clitellata; Crassiclitellata; Lumbricidae
Description: partial 16S ribosomal RNA
Rfam family: Bacterial large subunit ribosomal RNA
Source: RNAcentral
AACGGCCGCGGUAUCCUAACCGUGCAAAGGUAGCAUAAUCACUUGCCCAUUAAUUGUGGGCUAGAAUGAAAGGACUAACGAAAUAAAAACUGUCUCUAUAAACCACAUAAAAAUUAAUCUCUAACUGAAGAAUGCUAGAUAUCGUCGAAGGACAAGAAGACCCUAUAGAGCUUUAUUUUAACAAAAGCCAGAAAAUUUUUAAUAAAAUUCGGUUGGGGCGACCAGGGAAUAUAAAUCAUCCCAGAUAAGUAGAUAACUUAAUCUAAACUAUGACCCUUAAACAAGAUCAACAAAUCAAGCUACCUUAGGGAUAACAGGCUAAUCCCACUAAAGAGUCCUUAUUAAUAGUGGGGGUUGGCACCUCGAUGUUGGCUUAGG